RNAcentral lists this ribosomal RNA (227 nucleotides) under uncultured bacterium. RNAcentral describes it as "partial 16S ribosomal RNA". It matches the Rfam family "Bacterial small subunit ribosomal RNA", at positions 383 to 607 of the family's 1533-position model. The record is from RNAcentral.
CUGAACCAGCCAAGUAGCGUGUAGGAUGACUGCCCUAUGGGUUGUAAACUUCUUUUAUAAAGGAAUAAAGUCGGGUAUGCAUACCCGUUUGCAUGUACUUUAUGAAUAAGGAUCGGCUAACUCCGUGCCAGCAGCCGCGGUAAUACGGAGGAUCCGAGCGUUAUCCGGAUUUAUUGGGUUUAAAGGGAGCGUAGAUGGAUGUUUAAGUCAGUUGUGAAAGUUUGCGG